Molecule: RNA transcript, 7084 nt
Organism: Harpegnathos saltator (Jerdon's jumping ant)
Lineage: Eukaryota; Metazoa; Arthropoda; Insecta; Hymenoptera; Formicidae
Gene: rdgB
Gene name: retinal degeneration B
Exons: 21
Source: RefSeq, a predicted model, not a curated record
UGGCCGGCGGCGAUUUCGCGGGUUCUCGACGAGUCGCGGCUGCGAUCCGCUGCCGUGUGUCAGUCGGUGGCGGCGCGUCGCCGUGUUCGCAUUGUGUGUGUCUCUCGUUGUUCCUCGGUGUCGUCGCACCCCCGAGCCACCCCUAAUACCCUUCGAUUGCAUCUCCGCCGUCUUCGCUGUGACAUCAUUCUUCGCAUCAUCUGACGUCAUUGUUUCACCCUUUUAUCGAGAUUUACAGCCGACGACGCAAAAUGGGAACGUCGCUCGUGAUCCCCGUCGGGAAGGAUCCCUCGAGAUGCCGCCGCGAGGACGUCGCACAGGAUGGCGCACGGUGUCCUUGAAGGGAAGAUGCACUUUGCGAAGAUGCACGUGUGAUAUGGAACAGGCAGCGACAAAAUGUUGAUCAAGGAGUAUCGUAUACCGAUGCCUCUCACGGUAGAGGAGUAUCGAAUCGCUCAGCUGUACAUGAUAGCGAAAAAGUCUCGGGAGGAGAGCACAGGCGCCGGUAGCGGCGUGGAGAUAAUCGAGAACAAGCCGUACAGCGAUGGUCCAGGUGGUGACGGCCAGUACACGCUGAAGAUCUAUCACGUGGGUAGUCACCUGCCGGGCUGGUUCAAGAGCCUGCUGCCCAAGUCGGCGUUGAUCGCCAAGGAGGAGGCAUGGAACGCUUACCCCUACACCAAGACCCGUUACACGUGCCCGUUCGUGGAGAAGCUCUCCGUCGAGGUCGAGACGUACUACUUCCCGGACAACGGCCACCAGGAUAACGUCUUCCAGCUCAGCGGCAGUGAUUACAGGAAUAGGGUCGUGGAUGUCAUCGACAUCGUCAAGGACCAGCUUUACGGCUCCGACUACGUGAAGGAGGAGGACCCCAAGAUGUACGUGUCGGAGAAGACCGGGAGGGGCCCGCUGGAGGACACCUGGCUGGAGGAUUAUUGGGCCGAUGUGGAAGGACAACAACAGCCAUCGCCUUCGGGAAAGUCACUAAUGUGCGCGUACAAGCUAUGCCGAGUAGAGUUCCGUUAUUGGGGCAUGCAAGCGAAAUUAGAAAAGUUCAUACACGACGUAGCUCUGCGGAAGACGAUGUUGCGGGCGCACAUACAGGCCUGGGCUUGGCAGGACGAGUGGAAUGGUCUGACGAUGGAGGACAUCAGGGAGAUUGAGCGGCAGACGCAGCUGGCGCUGCAGCGGAAGAUGGGCCUGGCUGAUUCGGAGGACGAGCUCGGCGAGAGCCAGGAGGCGAAGGCGAUUGCCGCGACGUCGGCGACGGCAGCCGGUGCGGCGACGGCUGCGACAGGGGCGAGCGUCGCAAUGACGCCGCAGGAGUCGGACGUCGCCAAGACGUUGGCAGCCACCUUGGGCAGCAUCGAGAAGAACGAAGAGGCGCAGAGCCCGUUGUCCGUCAGGAAGCCAUCCGACAUCCCCAUCAUCAACACGGCGGCCAGCUCCGAGGGCGAGAUCAGCCCCGAGGACUCGCCGACCGACCAGGACGAGACCAGAGCCGCGGCCGUCGACGAGAAGGCGGAUGGCAAGAAGAAAUGGCGGAAGAGCAACGCGGCCAUGCACUCACCGAGUUCCAACAAAAGUUUCGACAUCCAGAUCGCGAACUGGAGAAUGGAGAGCAUCGUCCGGGAGUCCGAGUCCGGCAGCGACGACGAGUUCUUCGACUGUCAGGAGGACUUUGAAGAUAGCCCUUCAUUAGCUAAAUGGAGUUCUUUGGAUCUUCUAGCAGAAGGGGAAGACACGACUGUACGUACACCGCCUGCGGCGAAUGAGCAAGCAGACACGAUAUUUUCGCCUUCGUAUCUGCAGCGCGUCGCCAGCGAACGAAACAGCAAGAGACUGCAGAUCUGCUCGUCGACCAGUAUCGACGUAUCAUGUCCAGCAUCGCCUCAACACUCUCCAACGCAUCAGCCAUGCAAGAUCACCGUGCUAAUUAUCGUGGUGCACGCUGGCAGUGUUUUGGACGCGAACGUCGAUUUAACGGCGAAGAAAUCGGACAUCAUGACAUUCCGCGGAGCUUUCGAGUCCGUCAUGAGACAGCAUUAUCCCAGUAUGGUCGGGCAUGUCUCCAUUAAAUUCGUCGCCUGCCCUUCUGUCUGCACCGAGGGGCUUGGAAUCUUGUCAAGUCUGAGUCCGUACAGCUUCGACGUGUCGCCCUCCUGCAUGGACGCUCCUCCAGUCACGCACGACACCAUUCCGAUCGGCGCUAUACCGCUGCUGGCGAGCUCGAGCUCGGAUUAUCAAGAUGCGGUGUCGCGCGUUGUGAUUGGCGCUAAUCAAGUGUACCACGACUUCAUCAAAAGCGACGAGGGCAAAGGUUUCUCCGGGCAAAUUUGCUUCGUGGGCGACUCAGUUGGUUCGAUCUUGACCUAUGACGCAUUGUGCAGAGCGAUGCAGCAUUCGCGGCAAAGCAGCGAGAACAGUAUAUUGGAGACCAGCAAUCAGAAUAAUGAAAACGGUGGAAACGCUGAAGACGGCAAGCAUCUCUCCGCGCCCUCUCCCAGGAGAAGAUCUUCCGGCACGAGUGACAACAAGCUGGACUUCGAGGUGGGUGAUUUCUUCACGUUUGGCAGUCCGCUCGCUUUGGUCCUGGCUUACAGGAAGAUCGCCGCAUCCGGCGACAAAAACAGCUUUAUACCUCGGCCGUUGGUCAAUCAAGUGUACAAUUUAUUCCAUCCCACGGAUCCCGUAGCCGCGAGAUUGGAGCCUUUGAUCUCGGCGAGAUUCUCGCUAAUUCCACCGAUCAAUAUUGCCCGAUAUCAAAAGUAUCCGCUCGGCAAUGGCCAGCCUUAUCACUUGCUGGAGACCAUCCAGACUAACCCGCAGCUGUUCGCUGACGGACUAAAUGUUCCCAAUGUUCAACUGUCGCAUUUAAGAAGACUAUCUGAUAUUUCGCUUCAGAGUACAAUGUCGGGCAUUAUCGACAGUGUUCCUUUACAGGCGGUGUCCGCCCUGACGCAAAAGUGGUGGGGCACCAAGAGACUGGAUUACGCGCUUUAUUGUCCAGAGGGUCUCGCUAAUUUUCCUACAAACGCCUUGCCGCACCUCUUCCACGCUAGUUAUUGGGAAUCUUCGGACGUGAUCGCGUUUAUCCUGAGACAAUUGGGCAGAUUCGAUUUGCAAUUGCUCGGCAAUGAGGACAAAGAUCUCACUUGCUUCCGUCCAGGUCAACCCAGAGAGAAAUGGAAUAAAAAACGUACCUCCGUUAAACUUAAGAAUGUUGCUGCCAAUCACAGAGCGAAUGACGUCAUUGUGAAGGAAGGCGCACCACAAGUACUAAUCGCUAGGUUCAUGUACAGUCCUCUUGAUAUGAUAACUUUAACAGGUGAGAAAGUGGAUAUCCAUAUUAUGCGAGAUGCACCAGCAGGCGAGUGGAUGCACCUUUCCACCGAGGUGACCGACAAAAACGGUAGAAUAAUUUACAAGAUACCGGACGACAAAGCAUUAGGUUACGGGCUUUACCCGGUGAAGAUGGUUGUAAGGGGAGAUCAUACAUCUGUAGAUUUUUUCAUGGCGGUGAUACCCCCGAGAACCGAGUGCGUGGUUUUCAGUAUAGACGGUUCUUUCGCCGCCAGCAGGUCGGUGAGCGGCAAGGAUCCGAAAGUUUGGGCCGGUGCCGUUGAUGUUGUAAGGCAUUGGCAAGAACUGGGUUACCUCAUUAUCUACAUUACCGCGAGGCCCGACAUGCAACAGCAGACGGUGGUUUCCUGGCUGUCGCAACAUAACUUCCCUCACGGUCUCGUCUCAUUCGCCGACGGCCUGUCCAGAGAUCCGCUCGCUCAUAAAGCCGCGUACCUGAAUAAGCUCGUGAAGGAGCACGGCAUGAUAAUCCAUCAGGCGUACGGCAGCGAGAAAGACAUCAGUGUGUACACAGCGAUAAACUUGAAGCCGAGCCAGAUCUUCAUCAUCGGCAAGGUGUCGAAAAGGCACCAGGUCUUGGCGACAAUAUUAUAUGACGGCUAUGCCGCUCAUUUGAGCACGCUGCAGGCGCACGGCGGUUCGCGGCCCGCUCAGGGUAACGCGCGCAUGGUGAUCCCCAGGGGUCAAUUCGGCCUGCCCGGACAGAACGCUUCGCUGCGCCGACGAAGUAACGACACAGCGGUGAACUCCCCGGCGCGCAACAGCGUCUACUUAAAGCGGAAAAUCUACCUUACUCACAUCUAACACACGCCUAUAAUCUACGUACAAUUUACUUACUCACAUUGGUAAUUAUCUACAACCGUCUACUAUUUACUCUGCGGCGUAGGCGCCGACUGCGUGGCGGCGGUCUGAUUGGCAGGCCGACAGAGAUGCAAAAUUAAGAGGCGUUUCAUUGAAUAUUGCGUCAGCAUCAAUUAUGACGGUGCUCUUUAUUGAAAAUGCUUCGUGCAUCCUUCAUCGUCGAUUUUGCGCUAAAUAAUUUCAAAGUUUGAACGGUUAAUUAUUAGCAUAAUAUGUGCAAUUUAUAUAAAUUAGACCGGAAUAUCACAUGAAACAUCCCACGUGAAGCAAUAUUCGUUAUUUGUGUUAGCAAUAGCUGUCGCGUUCAAUCAAUUUGUAAUCGAAUUGCACAAAAUUCUACGUUCCACGUAGACAUUCAUGUUUUGUAACAAUUAGAUUUGCGCGACUAAACAAGUUCAGUAAGUCGUUUGCCCCGGGCAAGCUGAAAGCAGCUGAACCUGCUUAUCGAUGUAAAAAGUUGGCGCCUACGCUCUCUGCUUCUUCCGAAAUCUCCCGCGUAUGUCGCAGCGUGAUUUUAUCGGUAGAAAGAUUGUGUAAAAUUCGGCUCGCUAUAUUCUCUUCUUAUACGCGAAGACGCGAAAUGCGCGUGCAAUAAUUAUAAAAGUUAACAGUUAUUCACAAAAGUGAAUUCUCUAUACAGACAUCAAGAUUUACAUCAGAGUGUUGUCAGCAUCUGUGAAUUAUUUUUCAUGAGAUAACGCGCGUUUUAUGGCGCUUUGGAAUCUCAGUCACUGCAAUUAACGUACGUGAAAGAAAGAUUUCAGGUUUGUAACGAUAUUCUUGAUACCGUCACUGUGAAAUAAAUUAAAAACUGUUAAAAACGCGCGACGCGAUCGUCGUAAUUAGUCGCACAAAUCUGACGAGCCUUUGAAUCGAUGUUUCAAUCGUUUCGUUCGAUGGAAUCUUUCCACCUUUAAGACACGCUGUAUCGACCGUGUUCCAUGCUGUGUCUAAGCAGUAAAAGGGCACCCAUCCGACCCAUGUCGCUGACGAGUCUCUUGAUUGCAGGUACCUGCUAUGAGGAUAUGUCGCGUUGUCUCAGCGUAGUUAAAUAUCACUCUGUCUCUAUCUUUUACUCGGCGAAAAAAGCUGUUGUCGCCACCCUACGCUCGAAACUUAUAGUUUGUCCAUCGGCUAGAGUACCUAAUGUCCAGGAUUUGUGGUUAAUCCGCUCUAUGACCGUCUAGAUACGCCGGGCGAUAGAGUCGUUUUCGUUAUCCUCCCCGAAACGAACCGGUCUCACUUUAGCGACGAAGGGCGGCGAAGCGGGCAAUCUCGCAGCCACCAUUAGACAAGACGCCCUUCCCGUUGGAACGAUCCACAAGCGUGGGCCCACCGGCUACGCAUUCGUCGGCAACACCUGCACACUCGGCGGCGUCUGAGAAACUCUGACGAUUCGCGCGUUGCCGCUCGUUCUUCGAAUCCCGGCGGUAACUCGCGAUGAAAGGACACGAUCACGACUCCUGGUUCCGUAUGCAAUAGUUCCCUCUUCGUUUCGUAGACCCUCGUUUCGUCGUCGACUCGUUAGACUCUUUCGUCGUGGAUCAUGAUUAUACAGUGGCGUUCAUAGUUUCAGAUUUGUGUGCGUGCCGACCGCGUAGAAAGUCCUUAGUCCAUGUCCCGUAGGUUUCUUGAUGCCGUAGACGUCGUUCCUACACACAUCUCAUGGACACUCUCAGUCUUGCGGAUCCUUGUUCUCGCGUGGAUCUCCUUGAUUCCCAUGUGGAUCUUGGCUGUCACGUGGAAUCCCGGUGCUCAGACUUACGGUGUCAUGGGUUUCUUCUUAUUCCUCCUUAGUUCAUCUUACCUUUAUUUGCUCUUUUGUAUUUUCACUUCACGGAGAGAGAAUCCUGAUGUUGGAUAUUUUAAAUAACAAAGUACUCCUCUGAGGACAAAUUUCACACGCGGAAAGGAACGAUUGAAAAGAGAGCCGUGUCGCGGUUAUUAAUACACAGCUAUAUACAGAGUGUUUCAUCAUUAUCGUCACACUCGUGAAUGGCAGAUUCCUAACGAAAAUCCUGACUCGAGAAUAUCGGGAUUGUAAUGGUUUUUAGAUGGGAAGAAUGAAGAAAGGUCGCUUAAGUAUACGCGAAACUGCGAGUUGAAACAAGGUGAGAUUUUCAUAUCUCAGCAAUGGCUGAACCGAUCGAGGUUUUUUUAAUCCCAAUCGAUUCGGCCUUCAAAAAUAGGAAGAAAAGUGUUCUCGUGCUUUUUGUGUACGUUGUCUAUAAGUGGAGAUAUUUUAAGAUAAAGUCUGAAUUACGGAAAAUUUCGAUUCAGUUCAGUAAGAAACGUCGGACGCGAAGGAGUGGGGCAAGACGUGCACAUUGCUUUCCCGACAUCAGGGGCGCUACGAGAGCGCUGAAGAGCAGACAGCAGUGAAUGCGAACAAGCGAGUAAGCGAGAGAGAGUGAGAGAGAGGUGCUUAUUGACUCGUUGUUUAGGAAGAUUGCUCUUCAAUUCUUUUUUAUAACGUAGUAUACAUACAUUAACCUAUUUCUUCCCAAUGUUGCGUAUACGUAACACGAAGUUUAUAUAAUUAAUUACUGACGUCAGUAAUUAUUUUUUUUCACGAAGUGUUAGACUAAUUGUGAAAUAAGUUCAUUUUGACUGCAUUUUGUGAAGUUAAACUUCGCAACAUUGGGAAGAAAUGGUGGGUUAAGUACGCAACAUCGGUGCAUCGUCAUCAGUGGGAUAUACAUUAGUGAUUGAUUAGGAUUUUUUUUAUUAAACAUCAGUGAUUGAUUAAGAAUAUAUACAUACAUUAAGUACGCAACAUCGGUGCAUCGUCAUCAUCAGUGGGAUACAUUAGUGAUUGAUUAGGAUAUUUUUUGAUUAAACAUCAGUGAUUGAUUAAGAA